RNAcentral lists this ribosomal RNA (449 nucleotides) under uncultured bacterium. RNAcentral describes it as "partial 16S ribosomal RNA". It matches the Rfam family "Bacterial small subunit ribosomal RNA", at positions 28 to 523 of the family's 1533-position model. The record is from RNAcentral.
GACGAACGCUGGCGGCAGGCCUAACACAUGCAAGUCGAACGCCCUAGCAAUAGGGAGUGGCAGACGGGUGAGUAACACGUGGGAACCUUCCCUAUAGUACGGAAUAGCCCAGGGAAACUUGGAGUAAUACCGUAUACGCCCGAGAGGGGAAAGAUUUAUCGCUAUAGGAUGGGCCCGCGUCGGAUUAGCUAGUUGGUGAGGUAAUGGCUCACCAAGGCAACGAUCCGUAGCUGGUUUGAGAGAAUGACCAGCCACACUGGGACUGAGACACGGCCCAGACUCCUACGGGAGGCAGCAGUGGGGAAGCUUGGACAAUGGGCGCAAGCCUGAUCCAGCCAUGCCGCGUGAGUGAUGAAGGCCUUAGGGUUGUAAAGCUCUUUUGCCGGGGACGAUAAUGACGGUACCCGGAGAAUAAGUCCCGGCUAACUUCGUGCCAGCAGCCGCCGUAA